Molecule: non-coding RNA, 2104 nt
Organism: Crotalus tigris (Tiger rattlesnake)
Lineage: Eukaryota; Metazoa; Chordata; Lepidosauria; Squamata; Viperidae
Source: the annotation of a RefSeq genome assembly
UAGGAUAGGAUAGGAUAGGAUAGGAUAGGAUAGGAUAUUUGGCCAAGUGUGAUUAGACACAUAAGGAAUUUGUGUGUGGUUCAGAAGCUUUCAUUGUACCUGCAAGGCAACAGAGUUAUAAUAAUCAUAAUAAUGUCACCGAUAAGAGAAGUAUGAGAGAAGAUGACAAGGAUAAUAAUGUUACAACCAUACAAUAGGAGUGAAUAUAUUUAGAUAUAAGACAGUAUUAUAAGGAUUAGAUGCUCAGCAGAGUGAUGGCAAAAUGGAAAAAACACCUGCCCCUGUGUCUAGUUGAUUUGGCAUAUAAUGCUACAGGACAGGAAGUGUCAGCAUGAAUGUAAUGACCUAUGUUCAUGCAGACAUGAAAUGUCUGCACGUAAAAUUUCAACAGGGAGUUCAUACAGAACUGAGAUUUCAAUUUCUAUCCAUCUCACUUUAUCAAAAGAAAGACUAGGAGCCAGCCUUAAAACACAUUCAGGUUUUAAAUCUUCAUUUAUUUUUUUCACCACUCAAUAGAGGAGGAACUCAUGCAAAUUUUAUGAGAUGCAAUGCAAAGCAUCCAGUAUGAGAGCCUCAUUUCUUCUGAAGUUCAAAGACCUCACUAAGACACCCUAGAUGGCAUUUUCCACGAGAAGCCAUAUUUUUUCAUUACAUGUUUUGAAUUGUAUGGAAUUUCCUCUCCUUCUGUUUUUUUCUCCAAAUCAAGUUCUAUUUUGAGAAGAUCUGUAGACACAGCAAAGUAUAAAUUAAAGGCAGGAAGUGUGAAUUCUAGCUGUCUCUUAGAAAUAUUAAAAAAAAAUCAGCUAAAAUAGGAAAAUCUUGCAAGUCUGAUUCUGCUGUAUUUCCCAUCCUUCUUAUACCCCAAUGAAUCAGGGGGUAGUUGUCUUAAUUGUUUUUGAAUAUUUGAGGAUUGAGUCUGGUCCUCAAAAUAACUUUCAGUUCCCUUUCCCAUUGUAACAGUUUCUGCGUAAUUCUGUCAAAAUUACCAGCACCAAGAUAUAAUCUUCUUUGCAAAAAAAUAAAAUGAAAUAACCAGUCACAGUGUAUGGCAGUCAUUUGAAAUAUUUUUUGCCAGUCUCUGACUUUUUUGGCCAGUUUUGGAUUUGCUUCACAACUGAAAGACUCUCUUAUCAAUCACUGAAAAUAAUGGUUGAAAAAAUGCGCCUAGCAAUGUGGUUGCCUCUAUUUAUGACAGCACUGACUUACAACCAAUAUUCUAGUCGAUAUGUCAAGGACUACUUGCAUCCAGAUACACUCAAUUAUCUUUGUGAAAAUAGCAGAGAAUUUUCUACUAAAUUUCACAACACUUAAGGACUUCAUCUCCUAUUUAUACAGUCCUGGCAAAAUUUAUGCAAAGCCAAUAUGACUUUCACUUCCUAUUUAAACUCUUGUUCUCCUUUUUCAGGCUCAACUCAAGGUGUAAAUCUUAUCCUUCCAAACUUCUUCACAAUGGCAAUCCACUUCUUAACUCUCAUCACGCUGGCUGCCUUCCCCAAAGGUGGCCUCUCUCAGAUAGCUCUGACACAGUCAGAUCCAGUGCUGAAGAAACCAGGAGAAUCCCAUAAAUUGACUUGCGCUGUCACUGGAUUCAAUGUUAACAGCUACUACAUGGAUUGGAUCAGACAGAAACCUGGCCAAGGACUGGAAUGGCUUGUUCACUAUUACUCAUCUAGUAUCAACUAUUAUUCACCAACAAUCCAAGGACGUUUUGCUGCUUCCAAGGACAGUUCCAACUUCUAUCUGCAAAUGAACAACCUAAAAGCUGAUGACUCGUCUGUCUAUUAUUGUGCAAGAGACACAGUGAAAUAGAUCUUAAGGGAUCCUAACGUAAAAACGUUUCACUACUGAAAUAUCUCAAGAGGGGACACCAGAGAACCACAAAAUGAGUUGUCUAGCAUGUGGAACAAAACCACGCAGGCAGAGAAGAGAUGGAAAUGAAAAGAGAAAACAAAAAUACCCCCAAAUAUAUUAUUACUCUACACUUAGUGUGUUUGAACAUCUUUCACUUAUUGGUUGCUGUGGUUUCCUGCAGGUUCUUCUUCCAAUGCCAGAUGACAUCUCAAAAUGGGUUCGCCAUAGGUUCACAACCACUGAUCUAUAAUGC